AAUCAACGCUGGCGGCGUGCCUAACACAUGCAAGUCGAACGCGAAAGUUCCUUCGGGAAUGAGUAGAGUGGCGUCCGGGUGAGUAACGCGUGGGUAAUCUACCCUUGGGUGGGAGUAACCAUCGAAGAUGGCUAAUACCGCAUAAUGCAGCGGCUCGACAUCGAGACAGUUGUUAAAGCGCAAUCGCAAGGUUGCGCGCCUAAGGAGGAGCCUGCGUCUGANAGUCUUGUUGG
RNAcentral lists this ribosomal RNA (233 nucleotides) under uncultured bacterium. RNAcentral's name for it is "partial 16S ribosomal RNA". It matches the Rfam family "Bacterial small subunit ribosomal RNA", at positions 32 to 252 of the family's 1533-position model. The record is from RNAcentral.